GAUAUAGCACCCUUGUGCAUCAUGUGGUGUUUGUGCACAGAGAGAGGUUACAUUUCUUAAGGAUCCUUCCAAAUAACUGAUAAGCAAGGAGGGGAACAAUUAUAUGACAAUGAAGACUAGUGAACAAAGUGCCUAUAUCUUAAGGAUCAGGAUCAGGAUCAGUAUCAAAAUGUGAAUGGAAAGUGCUAAGCCAUCGAUGUAUCUGUUCAUUAAUAAUGGUCAAGGAAAGGAAGUAGGGAGCCUAUUCAAUUCUAAAUGAGGUCCUAAAUAUGCAUGUUUAUAGAAAAGAGAGUUGUCGACAAUUAUGCAUGUGUAUCCACGUAUAUACUAUCUGCCUACAGGCUACAAGUACAUGCACUUGCAUUUGUAUCCACCCACCACCGCCACUUCAUUAAUGCUUGGACCAUGGCUAAAAUGCUGGCAGGGGCCCAAGCUUAAGAUCUAGAACGUAGUUCUGUUAACAAUUACUUGUCACCAAAUGGAAAAUAACUAGGUCUUUUCCAAUCUACAGUUCUUAGGGCCCCGUUCAGUUGCCAGAAAAGUACAGGAAAGGAUGAGAAAACUAACUUUCCCAUAACUUUUAUAGUGUUCAGUUGCCAGGAAAAUUAUGGGACCCACACUUCUAAGUUUUCCUGCAUGAUUACUUUUCCACAAAACUGAUCCGGCCAUUUUGGCAAGAUUUUCUGUCGUGGGAAAAUGGAUCUAUAGCGCCAAAACACUUUUACUCACAAAAAAUGGCGCCAGAACAAGGACUUUUUGUUUUGGCGGCUUCUAGCUUCCCAUUAAUAUAGUUGCAGCAUCUUGGAAUUCAACCCUGCAAAACUCUCCAUCUCAAGUCAAUUUUUUUGGCUUUUAGCCUUUGUCCUUUUCAAGGUUAGUGUUUCUCUCUCUUUUCUUUGAUUUCUCUAGUUUAAUAUUGCUAAUAAGAACAUACUCCAUAUAUAUACAUAUAGUUCUCGUUUUGACUGAAGCUUUCAAGGAAAUCGAAGGGUUAAAUCAAGAUAGCAUUGCUGAAGCUUUUGAGAACCUUUUGCAUGAUGAAGUUAAACCGAAGGCAUUUAUGACGUAUUCCGUUCAGAUGCGAAUUAGGUUCUUAGAAAGGCACUUUGAUAUUUACGUGAGCAACUACUAUGGUGCUUUUUGAGAUAAUUGUUUUGUGGAAGAAGACUGGUAGUAUAUUUUUUUGGAAGUAUUUAAUUAUCUUGUCAUUAGUUUUCAGUUUUGUUUUGUACUAACUAAUAAUCAGUGGAUUUUUUUAUUGCCAACUAAUCAAGCACGGUUGUUUAACAUUUUUUACGACUGAUUAUCAAAGGAUGUCAAUUUGAAUAGGGGAUUUGCAUGACCAUUCAAAGGAUAGCCAAUUGAAUAGAGAAUUGCAAGUCAAUUUUUCCAUUUCAUGUUAAGGCUUUGCAUUAGAUAAAAUAAAUGUUCCGUAUGUGUUAGUUUUUGAAAUAUGGUAGCCAAUUAUUUAGCUCUCAAAGUUACUUUUAUUUAAAAAAUUAGCCAUGAGAAUAAAAAUAAAGAAAUUUCUCAUAAGUGUCUUUUUCCUGGCAAAUGAACAACUAAACUUUAGUUUUCCUGCAAAUUCUUUGGUCAAAUGAACACUCCCAGGAAAAUAGAUUUCUUAUUCUUUUACUUUACUUUACUUUACUUCACUUUUCUUGAGAACAACUUUCCUGCAUAACAUUCUUGGCAACUGAACGGAAUCUAGAGAUUUACCAUGUCAGAAACCUCAUUCCCGUGUCCACCUUGACACUUGUUAUGCACAGUAAAUAGGUAAUACCAUGCUGCUCAGUGGGGUGCGACAUUGCCAAAUCCACAUACGAAGCCUAAUGUUUCUUCACAAUUAUGACAUUCUUGCUAGGUGUAGCCAUCUACCAAACUCGGAUUUACGUUCAUAGUGUUCUGUCACAAACAACUAGGCCUGGAACUACUGUUAAUGUGAUAAAACAUCAGUAACCAAACAAUUCAGAUACUUCAGGAAUUUGCACAUAACAUAACAGUGAAAGAGAUGUCAGUGCAAUAGCAAGUACCUGGUGGGGUUACUUGAAGGAGCCCAAAGUACACAUAUCACCACUAAGAGGAAGAAUGCUAGAAGAGUCCAAAAAGCUGGAAUUACCCAGGAAAUUUGCCACAGCUCACUUAAUGGAUCACUUGCAUUGAAGUACAACUGAGCCAACAUGAGUCAGUAAUCAGCAUUCAUAAAAGAUGAGUCAGAUGACGGUGAAUAAACACCAGACCAGUUUUCUUCUACUGUGCAGAUCUAUGAAACUAUGAUUAUGCGACAUAUUAGUUUAACCAAAACACUACCUCGUAGCCUAUCCAAGCAAUAGAAAGCAGCACAAAUACAGCAAGGGAGUUCGUAAACUUCCGAUAUAGCUCAAGUUUGGCCAUGCUUCUCCGCAUCUGCAUGCAAAAGAGACAGGAAAGGGAGAGCCACAGAAGAAUCAGUGGCUGUAUCAUCCACAGAAAACAAAUUUUCUGGUACUCCAUUAACCACCUUGUCAUUAAGGCCCCAAAAAUUCAAGGAAUGUGACAAAAGAGUAAGAGUAUUUUCCC
Rhododendron vialii is the source of this 2559-nucleotide long non-coding RNA. RefSeq lists it as uncharacterized. The transcript is spliced from 2 exons. NCBI's taxonomy places the organism in Eukaryota, Viridiplantae, Streptophyta, Magnoliopsida, Ericales, Ericaceae. The record is from RefSeq and is a predicted model, not a curated record.